GAUGAACGCUGGCGGCGUGCCUAACACAUGCAAGUCGAGCGUGAACCCUGCGAAUGAAACUUCGGUCGAUUUUGCAGGGGGAAAGCGGCGGACGGGUGAGUAACGCGUAGGUAACCUGCCCCAUACUGAGGGAUAGCCUCGGGAAACCGGGAUUAAUACCUCAUAACACCGUAUAUUCGCAUGGAUGUGCGGUCAAAGAUUUAUCGGUAUGGGAUGGGCCUGCGUCUGAUUAGCUGGUUGGUGGGGUAACGGCCUACCAAGGCGACGAUCAGUAGCCGGCCUGAGAGGGUGAUCGGCCACAUUGGAACUGAGACACGGUCCAAACUCCUACGGGAGGCAGCAGUGGGGAAUAUUGCACAAUGGCGAAAGCCUGAUGCAGCAACGCCGCGUGAGCGAAGAAGGCCUUUGGGUCGUAAAGCUCUGUCGGGUAGGAAGAUAAUGACGGUACUACCCGAGGAAGCCCCGGCUAACUACGUGCCAGCAGCCGCGGUAAUAGUACUCU
This 502-nucleotide ribosomal RNA is filed under the name uncultured bacterium. Its description in RNAcentral is "bacterial SSU rRNA". It matches the Rfam family "Bacterial small subunit ribosomal RNA", at positions 28 to 529 of the family's 1533-position model. The record is from RNAcentral.